AGAUACCCUGGUAGUCCACGCCCUAAACGAUGUCAACUAGCUGUUGGGGCCUUCGGGCCUUAGUAGCGCAGCUAACGCGUGAAGUUGACCGCCUGGGGAGUACGGUCGCAAGAUUAAAACUCAAAGGAAUUGACGGGGACCCGCACAAGCGGUGGAUGAUGUGGAUUAAUUCGAUGCAACGCGAAAAACCUUACCUACCCUUGACAUGUCUGGAAUCCCGAAGAGAUUUGGGAGUGCUCGCAAGAGAACCGGAACACAGGUGCUGCAUGGCUGUCGUCAGCUCGUGUCGUGAGAUGUUGGGUUAAGUCCCGCAACGAGCGCAACCCUUGUCAUUAGUUGCUACGAAAGGGCACUCUAAUGAGACUGCCGGUGACAAACCGGAGGAAGGUGGGGAUGACGUCAAGUCCUCAUGGCCCUUAUGGGUAGGGCUUCACACGUCAUACAAUGGUCGGGACAGAGGGUCGCCAACCCGCGAGGGGGAGCCAAUCCCAGAAACCCGAUCGUAGUCCGGAUUGUAGUCUGCAACUCGACUACAUGAAGUCGGAAUCGCUAGUAAUCGCGGAUCAGAAUGUCGCGGUGAAUACGUUCCCGGGUCUUGUACACACCGCCCGUCACACCAUGGGAGUGGGUUUCACCAGAAGUAGUUAGCCUAACCGCAAGGAGGGCGAUUACCACGGUGGGAUUCAUGACUGGGGUGAAGUCGUAACAAGGUAACCAAU
This 719-nucleotide ribosomal RNA is filed under the name uncultured bacterium. RNAcentral's name for it is "bacterial SSU rRNA". It matches the Rfam family "Bacterial small subunit ribosomal RNA", at positions 780 to 1504 of the family's 1533-position model. The record is from RNAcentral.